UACGUAGGUGGCAAGCGUUGUCCGGAUUUACUGGGCGUAAAGAGCGCGCAGGCGGUUAUUCAAGUCGAAUGUGAAAGCCCCCGGCUUAACUGGGGAGGGUCAUUCGAUACUGUUUAACUUGAAGGCAGGAGAGGGUAGUGGAAUUCCCGGUGUAGUGGUGAAAUGCGUAGAUAUCGGGAGGAACACCAGUGGCGAAGGCGACCCGCUGGGUCACACCUGACACUGAGACGCGACAGCAUGGGGAGCGAACGGG
Molecule: ribosomal RNA, 253 nt
Filed under: uncultured bacterium
Lineage: Bacteria
Description: partial 16S ribosomal RNA
Rfam family: Bacterial small subunit ribosomal RNA
Source: RNAcentral